Long non-coding RNA from Lolium rigidum, 1018 nucleotides. RefSeq lists it as uncharacterized. The record is from RefSeq and is a predicted model, not a curated record. The transcript has 8 exons. NCBI's taxonomy places the organism in Eukaryota, Viridiplantae, Streptophyta, Magnoliopsida, Poales, Poaceae.
CAUCAUUUGUGAAGCAUACCAAUUUGAUUUUCUCUCCAGGCUAAAGCAUGUGCCAACGCUAGCAUUGCUUGUCUGAAGAAUCUCAAUAGGAGGACUGUUGAUGUUUUGGCUUCUAGGCUAUACUCGUAUUACUCAUAUGCACAUGAACUCACCAACAGCCUUGCUGAAAUUCGUGGCAUGGCAACUUUGCACCGUGAUGAGCUUGGCCAGGAAACACUUCUUAACCUGCUUCUUCGCAAUUACCUGCACUACAACUUGUCCGACCAGGCAGAAAAACUUAGGUUAAAGGCACCACGUUUUGAAGCACAUUCCAAUCAGCAGCGAGAAGUUUUAUCAACAAGGCCUGGAGGAUUAGGCUUGCCAUGGACGUGGCAGUGACAGUCAACCGCAGCCUGCAUCGAUGCACCGGGCUUACUUCUCCACUUCAGAUCCAAGUUUCCUUUUACCUUGUGCAAUCCAAUUGUCACCACUAUUCCAGUCCAAAAUCUUGUCUAAAAUGUUCCAAAGUGCUCCAGUCAGGUUCAGGUGGAAUGUGACGCAAAAUAAGAAUUUUAAUGGGGAAACCACCUAGAUUGGAACCAGCGGAAUAGGUUACAGCAGUUCUGAGGGCCACUGCAUAUAACACCUAUCCAGCAAAAUGGGCAAUGCUCGGUUUUGUUCAAGUCUGAUUGAGUCUCCACAUACGUAUUGAAUUAGGUCUGAAGUUGCGUUUUGACGUCUCCUACGCUGCAGUGGUUUUGUACCCCAUGUGCGGCACGUCUGCAGCCUCCUCUUUCUGCCCUACAACAACCGUCUACUUUCUGUCUUUCUAAGCCACGGUUACUUUUUUCAGUCACAGUAAGGAUUUUGGAGACGGAAAGGAUUAGAAUUUGUGUGGUUAUUUAGGGAACCCACCGUUUUUAAAGUUGUGCACACAAUCACGUAAAACCACAGAGCCAUUUGGCAUUCGGAGAACUGAAUAAAAUUUCAUUUUUAGUUUCUGCUGCAUAAGGUUGUUGAACAGAUAUAGAUCUACAUG